RNAcentral lists this ribosomal RNA (407 nucleotides) under uncultured bacterium. RNAcentral describes it as "partial 16S ribosomal RNA". It matches the Rfam family "Bacterial small subunit ribosomal RNA", at positions 30 to 526 of the family's 1533-position model. The record is from RNAcentral.
AUUGAACGCUGGCGGCAGGCCUAACACAUGCAAGUCGAGCGGAGCGGCGGACGGGUGAGUAAUGCCUAGGUAUCUGACUGGUCGUGGGGGAUGACGUCAGGAAACGGGCGCUAAUACCGCAACCUAUCAGAUUAGCCUAGGUCGGAUUAGCUAGUUGGUGGGGUAAAGGCCUACCAAGGCGACGAUCCGUAACUGGUCUGAGAGGAUGAUCAGUCACACUGGAACUGAGACACGGUCCAGACUCCUACGGGAGGCAGCAGUGGGGAAUAUUGGACAAUGGGCGAAAGCCUGAUCCAGCCAUGCCGCGUGUGUGAAGAAGGUCUUCGGGUUGUAAAGCACUUUAAGUUGGGAAGCGUUACCUGCAGAAUAAGCACCGGCUAACUUCGUGCCAGCCGCCGCGGUAAUAC